AUCCAAUUGACGAGUCCCAACUAGGACGAAACGCUUGUCAAACUAGAU
Non-coding RNA from Schistosoma haematobium, 48 nucleotides. Lineage: Eukaryota; Metazoa; Platyhelminthes; Trematoda; Strigeidida; Schistosomatidae. The record is from Rfam.